Molecule: unclassified non-coding RNA, 719 nt
Filed under: Hevea brasiliensis (rubber tree)
Lineage: Eukaryota; Viridiplantae; Streptophyta; Magnoliopsida; Malpighiales; Euphorbiaceae
Source: RNAcentral
GGUAACUUAACUUUUAUUUAUAAUGGGCAACAGGCAUUACACAUUUAAUUAAAGUUAAAAAGGCAAGACCCUAGCUAGCUAACAUAAAAAGAGUUAACCCUGCAUGCCUUGGCCUAGCUAAGUGCUAAAAUAAGUUCAUAAAUCCUAAGGAGUCUAGACUCUAUAGAUGACUUGAUGCUUAGCUCUCCACACUUUCUGCUACUCAAAACAGGGGGAAGAAAAAGAAAAAAGAAAGAUGAAAGAAGUAGAAAGACACCCUUAAUUAUUCGACCUUAGCAUUGGCAACAUUGCAGUAGAGUUUCCUGGUAAUUAAUUAAGAAAUCACUAGUCGUUCCAGACCCAUAUGGCUCCAGCCCUCUUCAGCAAUGGACCUAACUGGUUCUUGACCAGUAAGCUCAUGACCUGCCUAUCUCCACCCACACACUCGCCGCCUAUGAACACAGCUGGUACGUUCUGACACCCUAGCUGCUGCAAUGCUCUUUCAAUUUGCUGGCCGUUUGGAAUUUGAUCGAGCUCAUAAACUGUAGGAUUUGCCCCAAAACCACGUAUCAGUGUCUUAAUGGAGUGACACAUGUCACAGGUGCUCUUGCUGAAUAUCACCAGUGGCCUCUCAGCAACCAGUCUUGUCACUGCAUCCAUGGCUAGCUUAGCUAGAUAUACGAUUGAAUAGUAGUAGGAGUUGGAAAUCUGUGAAGUUUCUUAAGAGAACUAGAAGGCUC